GCUUCGCGUUCGAAUUGCUCUCGGGUGGCACUGCUGAUGAAACUGUCUUCCAAGGAGUUCUCAUCAGGUCUUUCCGUUGUAAAGAAUUCAUAAUUUUCAGCACUGCGUGGCACACGUAUUAUGCUGGCUAAAGUGAGGUGCUACAUUGUGGGGAAUACCACAGAAAAGAGCAGCAACCGCACCAGUACGCCAACCAAAAAUACCAAGCACUCACACCAUUACACACUUGACUGCCUGUCAAACUCACUCCACGGGUGCCUGUCAGAAAAUAGGAACAGAACAGGUUUUUAACUUGUAUUUUUGUACAAUGUUCAGGCCAUAGAUAACUAGAUGGGAAACGGAAAAAACAGUGAUGAAUCGUGAAGCGUUUUCCACGAUUUCAGAUUUACGAUGCUCUGUAUUUGAGGGCUGACAAUGGAAUAAAUCGAAUACUAUAAAAAAAUGAAAAAUAUGCUUAAGCUCGGACGCUUACAAUUUAAUGAAAAUGUACUGCUUUUUCGCUUCUACGAUGUUAAGAUCACCUGUCAUGUGAUUUUCUGAGAUAACAGGUAGAAAUGCAAUGAGCGAAGAGAGUUUGAAAAAAAAAAAUGCUUAUAUAAGUUAAUAAUUGAGCAGCCAAGGCGAAUAGAAUCUAAGAGGGUAUCCUAUCAUUCCUGUUGGACAGCAACAAUGCAUAAGCGAAGGGGCAAAGAUAGUGGGGAUAAGUAAGCACGCGGUUCAACGAAGACAACAAAUAAGUCAGCGACAACAACAACUGCAGUGAUGAAAGAGCGUGCAUACAAAUUCGACAAUUGCGCCGUAAAAUUGGAAGUACAGGUACGGCGACGCUGAAUUAGUAAGGAGGGGUGUGAACAGACAUUAACUGGAUGCUUUAAAAAACAAUUGGGAAUUUCGCAAUUUCCACAUCAGCACAAAAAAAGGGCAAUCAGUAUAAAAUACGUAUAGUAAAUAAGCAAAAAUUCAAUAAUUAAGAUUUAAAUGAAAUUGCCAAACAUUCAAAGACAAAAUUAAGGAAGGCGAAAAACGUAAUUAUAAAGAUAUGUUAAAAAUAUUCCAAUUUUUGAAUAUAACAAAAAAGUAGAUAACAAAAACUAAUUUGUAAAAUACCAAGUAAAUUAACAAGGAUAACUUUUAAUUCUUGA
Long non-coding RNA from Anastrepha ludens (Mexican fruit fly), 1142 nucleotides. RefSeq lists it as uncharacterized. The transcript has 3 exons. NCBI's taxonomy places the organism in Eukaryota, Metazoa, Arthropoda, Insecta, Diptera, Tephritidae. The record is from RefSeq and is a predicted model, not a curated record.